CGGCGUGCCGCCCGCCGGAAGGGGCGGCGGCGGGACUUCCCGCCAGGAAAGG
Molecule: small RNA, 52 nt
Organism: Firmicutes bacterium CAG:176
Lineage: Bacteria; Bacillati; Bacillota
Rfam family: M23 RNA
Source: Rfam